Molecule: ribosomal RNA, 610 nt
Filed under: Naganishia diffluens
Lineage: Eukaryota; Fungi; Basidiomycota; Tremellomycetes; Filobasidiales; Filobasidiaceae
Description: eukaryotic LSU rRNA
Rfam family: Eukaryotic large subunit ribosomal RNA
Source: RNAcentral
CCGAUUUUUUUAAUUCCCCCCAUAGGGAGGAAAGGAACUUACCAAGGUUUCCCCUGGUACCGCCAAUUGAACCGGGAGGGGUUCAAUUUUGAAUCCUGUAUCUUCGGCUGCUCGAGUUGUAAUCUAGAGAAGUGUUUUCCGUGCCGGCCCAUGUACAAGUCCCUUGGAACAGGGCGUCAUAGAGGGUGAGAAUCCCGUCCUUGACAUGGACCCCCGGUGCUCUGUGAUACACUUUCAACGAGUCGAGUUGUUUGGGAAUGCAGCUCAAAAUGGGUGGUGAAUUCCAUCUAAAGCUAAAUAUUGGCGAGAGACCGAUAGCGAACAAGUACCGUGAGGGAAAGAUGAAAAGCACUUUGGAAAGAGAGUUAAACAGUACGUGAAAUUGUUGAAAGGGAAACGAUUGAAGUCAGUCAUGCUCUUUGGUAUUUAUAUCAUUGAGUGGGGUCAACAUCAGUUUUGAGCGAUGGAUAAAGGCACUAGGAAGGUAGCACUCUCGGGUGAACUUAUAGCCUAGCGUCAUAUACAUUGUUUGGGACUGAGGAACGCAGCAUGCUUUAUGGCCGGGAUUCGUCCACGUACAUGCUUAGUAUGUUCAUAAUCUCAGGGCCGU